AGUAAUAUAAGCUAAAAAAGCUAUUGGGCCCAUACCUCAAAAAUACUUAAAGUUAUUACUU
Molecule: transfer RNA, 61 nt
Filed under: Trichuris trichiura (human whipworm)
Lineage: Eukaryota; Metazoa; Nematoda; Enoplea; Trichinellida; Trichuridae
Also listed under: 3 other names
Description: tRNA-Met
Source: RNAcentral